RNAcentral lists this ribosomal RNA (437 nucleotides) under Wolbachia pipientis. RNAcentral describes it as "bacterial SSU rRNA". It matches the Rfam family "Bacterial small subunit ribosomal RNA", at positions 992 to 1428 of the family's 1533-position model. Lineage: Bacteria; Pseudomonadati; Pseudomonadota; Alphaproteobacteria; Rickettsiales; Anaplasmataceae. The record is from RNAcentral.
CAUACCUAUUCGAAGGGAUAGGGUCGGUUUGGCCGGAUUUCACACAGGUGUUGCAUGGCUGUCGUCAGCUCGUGUCGUGAGAUGUUGGGUUAAGUCCCGCAACGAGCGCAACCCUCAUCCUUAGUUACCAUCAGGUUAUGCUGGGGACUUUAAGGAAACUGCCAGUGAUAAACUGGAGGAAGGUGGGGAUGAUGUCAAGUCAUCAUGGCCCUUAUGGAGUGGGCUACACACGUGCUACAAUGGUGAUUACAAUGGGCUGCGAGGUCGCAAGGCUGAGCUAAUCCUAAAAAAUCAUCUCAGUUCGGAUUGUUCUCUGCAACUCGAGAGCAUGAAGUCGGAAUCGCUAGUAAUCGUGGAUCAGCAUGCCACGGUGAAUACGUUCUCGGGUCUUGUACACACUGCCCGUCACGCCAUGGGAAUUGGUUUCACUCGAAGCU